UGUUGUGGUUCGUAAUGGCUGACUGGUUUGUUGGCUGGCGCCUUUGCUAGGGUUGGUCAAGUGUGAACAGUUUCGAGGAAUUUCAGGUUACGCGGUCAAAAGUUCCAUGGUGGCAUGUCUCAGCAGCACUCUUACAAGUAUGGACGGUAGUUACACAUGCAGAAUUCAUUGACAUGGCUGCUGUUGAAAAUGAACUGGACAAAAUCGACCCACGAAUUCAGGGUGAGCUAGAACGACUCAAUUCAGCCACAACCGAGAUCAAUAGACUUGAGAAGGAAGUGGAUGCAGCGAAUUCUGUCUUCAGAACCACCUUGUCCGAGUCCAGCCAGCAGUUGAAACAGCUAGCGAAGAAACUGGGCAAGAGUGUGGAGAAAGCUCGACCCUACUACGAAGCCAGAGAUGUCGCCUUCAAGGCUCACCGGGAGGCGCAGAAGGCGGCGAUACAGUUCCAGCGAGCGAACAGCGAACACCAGGCGGCGAAAGAAACGAUCUACCUCGCAGAACAACGUCUGCUGAACAUGAACGACAAGCGAGUGUUCGACUCCGCAUGGCAGGAGAUGAUCAACCACGCUACGAUGAAGCUAAACGAGGCGGAGUCGGCAAAGCUGAAGAACGAAAGCGAUCAUCAGGAGAAAUCCGCACAGUUCGUGACGGCCGAGCAGCGCCUCUACAAGCUAGAGAAGGAGCUACGCAGUGCCAUCAACAAAUCCAGGAAUUACUUCGAGCGGAAAGACAAGUUUCAAGCAUUUCUGCAAGAUAAGAAGCGAAGCAUAGAGGGGCUACAGCGAACAGUGCAGACGACGAAGAGACAAUAUGCAGACGCGCUUAAUAACCUUGAACAGAUCUCGGAAGAGAUACACAGUCAGCGUCUGCAGGACAAACAGAGGGAGCCAGGGGUAGGAGCAGAGGAAGCCAAAGACAGGACGUCUCCUGUUCCCGAUCUCGAUAACCUGCGAGCAAAAGCUAGUCUCAUGGAAGGGUCGACAGCAUCGCUACCGGAUGCAGAGUUAGACGACAUAACUGUGUCGAGUCUGCGCACGGACGCCAGUGACCGCGGCGCCCUCUCCGACUGCGAUCUAUCGGACGACGAAGCCGACCUCCGUCCGACUUCCGAGCGAGAAGGUGGCGCCACCGUCCCGCGAUCGUCGUGCGCGCGGGUGGACGCGACAACUUGCUGUGAUAGCGGUGUCGGCACGGACGCAGAGGGGGCGCCGCCGCCCGCCGAGACAAACACGCUACCGCGAUGUCGCUCAGCGACGGCGAUGAGCGGCGCGACGGCGGCGGCGGCGGUCGCUCGGACGAACACCGGCGAGACACGGGCGCGCCGGGUCACCGUCGGCGCCGCGGCGGCGCCACCUGUUUCGCGUGGCGCGAGGGAACAGAUGCUGGCGAGCCUGCCGCUAUUGGCCGGACUCAGCGAGCAGCUGAGCCGUGAUUGGCCAAUGGUGAGGAGGUGGAGCGGGGAUGAUGACAGCGGCGAGGCGAGGGGAUUCGGCGUGAGGAGACAGCCGAGCGGCGCGUCGCUGAAGACGCAGAACCGUCGCCAUGCCAACAAGCAACAACAGCAGCAGCAACAAUAGCAACAAUAAAACGUAGCCAGGGAUGCAGCGAACACGAAUCAGGGUCAGAGAAGUGUAGUACCAGCAGCAGCUAGCUGUACAGAGUGUUGCUGGUACUACUGCUGCCGCUGCUGCUAGGUCAUUCCCUACCGCCAACCAACCAGUACCCGUGCAAUCACGAAGCCACAACAGCGAAAUCCGACGCCGAUGAUUAUGUGCAAUCGUUAAAUAGCAAAGUUGAACAUCUCAAUAUUGUGGAAAUUGGCAUGCGAUUACAAGUGCAUUUACAAGAGAAUAGCCAAGUAAGGUUAAUUGGUAAUGCCCAGAAUCAUUUCACGAUUACUCAAGGUGUGAUAAAGACGGUGGUAUCAUCUGCCUUGACAAGUCAAACUAAAUUUAUUACGGCCCCAAUCAGUCGAUAGUUUUGGGUGAGCAGUGUUUGCCUUUGCUGACAAUGGAGUUCUGCUAGUGUUGGCUGUCAAAUACCGCGUUAAGAACGGCUAAAUGCGACUCCAACUGAUAAAUAGCAUUACUUCUUUAAAAUCAAAUUUGGCAGCAGGUAGACACGUGAUUUGAUUCGACCAAUAGGGGCUCACUGUCCGCCAUUAAUCAUUAAGCGCUGUCCUGCGCGCGCGCGCGCGUCUAUUCAUCCGAAAAUAGAAGUAGAGAAUAAAUCGUUCUGUUCCAUUUCCUCCUCGUCUUUCCAGUGCGUAUCGUUGUGAGAGUCAUGUUACCUGUUAUAUAUAUCGAUCACAGCGUGGUGCUUUGUUUCAGUAGGGACCUUAGUGAAGAUGCGUUUUAGUGCUCAUCGAAAGUUUUCUCAUUUUGUAACGGAACGCGACUCAAUGCGUUGCCUUGAGUAAGAAAUGCAGCGUCACUCACAUGUAUCUACUACACUCUGUCGUCCGUAGUCAGAAACAAAAUUAGUCUAAAAAAUUUAGUCUUUACAUGAACUUUUUCUUGUAUUGGAUCUCUGUAUAGAGACAAUCGUAGCUUUACCGUGUUUAUGUGACGAUCUGCGAGAAAGUUAAAUGUUAAUACUAAUGUUACAAUCAUUUUGUUUGACAACGGGUGCCCCUAGUAGUUGAUACAUUCGUGAUGACAUGUGUUGACAGAUGGACAUUCGUGAUGACAUGUGUUGACAGAUGGACAUUCGUGAUGACAUAUUGUGCUAAUGAGUGUUGACACACGCAUCUUGUCGUCCACCCUGCUUCUAUAUCACCCGCCCGCUGAGUGGUCUAGUGGGCCUUCGUGCUUCUAAUUCGUUCGAUGUGACAUAUCGUUAAGGUGCAGGAUUGUAUAGUAUUAGCUUUACGUUGUUUAAGUUAUGGUAUUGAGAGGAAGUGGUGAGUGAGUGGAUGAGUGGCGUGCGGUUGGUGGUGAGUGGUGACGAGUUGUGGGUGAGCGAAUGUGCGUGAAUAAGGAAGAGAGAAGAACAAAAUAGAAAUAAAGAGAGAGAAAGAACAA
Molecule: unclassified non-coding RNA, 3026 nt
Filed under: Priapulus caudatus
Lineage: Eukaryota; Metazoa; Priapulida; Priapulimorpha; Priapulimorphida; Priapulidae
Description: sH3 domain-binding protein 5-like, transcript variant X1
Source: RNAcentral